This 253-nucleotide ribosomal RNA is filed under the name uncultured bacterium. RNAcentral's name for it is "partial 16S ribosomal RNA". It matches the Rfam family "Bacterial small subunit ribosomal RNA", at positions 524 to 776 of the family's 1533-position model. The record is from RNAcentral.
UACGUAGGGGGCUAGCGUUGUCCGGAAUCAUUGGGCGUAAAGCGCGUGUAGGCGGUCCGGUAAGUCCGCUGUGAAAGCCAGGGGCUCAACCCUUGGAUGCCGGUGGAUACUGUCGGGCUCGAGUACGGAAGAGGCGAGUGGAACUCCUGGUGUAGCGGUGGAAUGCGCAGAUAUCAGGAAGAACACCAACGGCGAAGGCAGCUCGCUGGGACGGUACUGACGCUGAGACGCGAAAGCGUGGGGAGCGAACAGG